CCCACCUCCUGGCUUCAAAGCUCAGGCACCAAUGGCAAUGGCGGUCCUCCCUCUCUUCUUUGCCUUGAUGUUCAAGCCACGCCUUUGACCCCCACUCCCCUCCGUCUCCGAAUCUCCCCCGAUCGCCGCGAUUUCGAGGGAUUUCCCUUCUCGCAUGGGCGGGUUCAGCUGGUUGCGAUCGUGCCGGCGGCGGUUGCUGUCUUCGGUUACGGGCCGGACGAAUUCGAUUGGGAGUAGCUUGGUUUCGGAUUCGCGGAGGGCGGCGUUCUUGCUCGCCCGAACUGAAGCUUUUCGUCCAUCAGCUUCGUACGGUUGCGGUUUUCUUACUGGGAAUCCUAUCGAUCGAGAGACCUUGAGGUCGCCAUGGAGGUAUCGGCGUCUUCACGCGACGGGUUCUUGUCGCCACCCUGAAAGAAGCUAUUAUGACAUUCUGGGUGUUUCGGAGAAUGCCAGCCGAGAUGAGAUUAAGAAGGCUUUUCGUGCGCUUGCAAAGAAGUACCAUCCUGAUGCAAAUAAGAAUAAUCCUUCUGCGAAGAGGAAAUUUCAAGAGAUAAGAAAUGCUUAUGAGACUUUGCAAAGUUCCGAAAAAAGAGCAGAGUAUGACAGGAAACGCUCUAGAAGUUCAGUAAAUGUUGAAUAUGGUGAAGGAGAUGCUGAGGGGUUUACACAUGAAUACGGGAGGCAUUUCUCUAGUUCCUUCCACAAGAUCUUUUCUGAGAUUUUUGAGGACAAGACAGAUCAAUUUGCAUCUGAUGUUCAGGUGGAACUGAUACUUUCUUUCCUCGAAGCUGCGGAAGGGUGCACAAAAGAGCUGUCCUUUGAAGCAUAUGUUCCUUGUGAUUCUUGUGAUGGGCGUGGCUAUCCACCUGGUGUCACGGUGAGAGUGUGUCCAACUUGCAGAGGCAUUGGGAGGGUCACAAUUCCCCCAUUUACAGCAACAUGCACUACCUGUAACGGCUCGGGCAGAGUUGUCAAGGACCAAUGCAUUCCGUGUGGAGGAUCAGGAGUUGUUGAAGGCACUAAGGAAGUUAAAGUUACAAUUCCAGCAGGUGUGGAUUCGGGAGAUACAAUUCGUGUGCCAGAAGCUGGUAAUGCUGGAGCACGGAGGAGUCAACCUGGCAACUUAUUCAUCAAAUUAAAGGUGGCUGAAGAUCGUACCUUUACCAGAGAUGGUGCAGAUGUAUAUGUGGUCUCAGAAAUUAGCUUCACACAAGCAAUUCUUGGUGGUAAAGUUGAGGUCCCAACUUUAUCGGGGAAAGUACAAGUUAAUAUACCAAAGGGGGUACAGCCUGGACAUCUUGUGGUUCUAAGAGGAAAAGGACUACCAAAACAUGGUUUUCUUGUCAGUCAUGGGGAUCAAUUUGUGAGAUUUCGGGUUAAAUUCCCCAGCGAGAUAAAUGAACGACAACGUGUAAUUUUAGAAGAAUUUGCUAAAGAGGAGAUCAAUAGUGAAAACAAUACGUCUCAAGAGGGAAAUUGUGGGGAUGAUGGCAGCCUUGAGUGAGAGCUACAUUUUGACUUCCCUUGCACUUGCCUUUGGGACACCUCUGAAUUAAUAGGUUGAUGCAACUACCAAGAAUGUGAAUCACAUGAGAUGAUUUGCAUUCUGUUCCUGAAAUUGGUGGGAGUGUGCAGGUGGGCACAAUUUCUCAAACGCGCAGCGAGUCCUAAGUUCAUGCUCGAAAUGUCUCUGCUCCUGUUGAUCCUCAUGCUUCUGAAGAAAGUGAUGGCUUGAGCACAUGCCUCAAAUUUGCAGUGACUGGAUCAGAUGAUAGCUCUGAUUGAGACUGGUUGUGCUGGAGGAUUCUCCCCAGAUUAUAAUUUUAGGUCAAGUUAUUUCGAUAGAAGGCAUCAUAUUUUUUUGGGAGGUGAUCACAGUUGCUCAAUUACAAGUUCAUCAAAGCCAUUCUUUUGCCCCCACAGCUCACCAUUUUUAAAGGUAUAUACACCUUUUUGUUCUCUAGAAGUAAUGUACACAAAUUACAUUAUCUUAAUAAAGUUUCAAAUCCUUCACCUC
RNA transcript from Syzygium oleosum, 2017 nucleotides. It is a transcript of the gene named chaperone protein dnaJ 1, mitochondrial, with no coding region annotated. The record is from RefSeq and is a predicted model, not a curated record. The transcript is spliced from 20 exons. Lineage: Eukaryota; Viridiplantae; Streptophyta; Magnoliopsida; Myrtales; Myrtaceae.